UACGUAGGGUCCGAGCGUUGUCCGGAAUUAUUGGGCGUAAAGAGCUCGUAGGCGGUUUGUCGCGUCCGCUGUGAAAGCCCGGGGCUUAACCCCGGGUCUGCAGUGGAUACGGGCAGGCUAGAGGUAGGUAGGGGAGAAUGGAAUUCCCGGUGUAGCGGUGAAAUGCGCAGAUAUCGGGAGGAACACCGGUGGCGAAGGCGGUUCUCUGGGCCUUACCUGACGUUGAGGAGCGAAAGCGUGGGGAGCGAACAGG
This 253-nucleotide ribosomal RNA is filed under the name uncultured bacterium. Its description in RNAcentral is "partial 16S ribosomal RNA". It matches the Rfam family "Bacterial small subunit ribosomal RNA", at positions 524 to 776 of the family's 1533-position model. The record is from RNAcentral.